GGCUCUUAAGAUUAAGAUAUAUUGUUCAGACACAGAAAGAGGUGUUUCAGAUGUGACUUUGCCUGUAAGAAACGGAUAUCCGAAAAAUCCUGUCCUGAAAAUAAAACAUUUAUUUUACGAAUAAUUGAAAGUUUAAAAACAGACCAACGACUCACCUGACUGCAGGACGUUUGACAACAGUGUCCAAAAACCGGCUCUCCACUAAAACUGAAUCAGACAUUUUGGGGACACCAAAACAGCAAAGAUGGCUGGUCUCUGGUGGAUCACUGUGACGAUGGUCUUCUGUCUGUCUGCUGGAAGUUUGGCUGAAAUAAACCAAAACCAGCUCGCAACACUCAUAUAUCAUCUAACAAGAACAGUCAGACACGAGUACAAUAUAUAUUCAAUGUAUGCCGUGGCCGCAAGUAUUCCGAAGGAUGAAAGCAGAGUCUCUUAUGACCUAAGAAGGGUGACGGAUACAAACCAACGGAUACAAUUCAAUGACGGUAUCCUCGGGACUUCUAGAUUUGUGGUAGCCCCAAUAAAAUACAUAACCAAUAACAACGGGGUCUAUCUAUAUACUCAACAUGCAGAGUGGCGUCUUCUGCAGAAUCUAAAUCUUAAAGGUCAGGAUGGUGAUUUGUUGGUCUUCUUCUCUUAUGCUACUCCAUGUUUGACAAGCUGCGCAAAUCCAAAUGGAAACUACAAGAUCACUGAUUCGCUUCAAACACUCUUUACUGAACCCAAGUGGGGAGAAAAGGCAUUUGUGUUUGAAGCUAUAUUCAGGCCAGGUGAGAUGAACAUUGAUUCAGAUGAAAAAAGAGAUGAAAUAAAACGCAAUACAACAAAGGCCUUGACAAAUAUUGCGAACUCCAUUGGCUCCGAAAACAUAUUUCGCUGUUACAGACCUGAUAAUCAUGAUUACAUUUGCAUUAAAUGCUUCAAUGGUGAUCAGAUUGAGCCAAACUGUAUCUCAUAAUGCACCAAUUCAUUUAUGCAAAAAGGAAUGUUUUAAAAAAUAAUUGUAAAAAUUUAGUUAAAUCCACGCUGAACAUUUUUAAUGCUUUGUUUUCAUUUUUUUAAGCUGAAGUCUCCACUCGCGCUCUACUUGUUCACUUUCUGCCUUUAACUUGGAAUUUACUGUCUGAGUGAUGACUCAGCAAUUUAAGGUCCAGCUACAUUUAUAUUUGUCUUUGAUAACUGAUACAAACCAUAAGUCGCUAUUUUAAUUCUCUUUGAAAUUUAAUGCAGCUCAGUUUAGCCCCAAAACUGAUCGUGAUAGUCGUGCGGAAUUAGAUUUGGCUUUAACAAUAUGAUAUCAAAUCCAAAUACUUCGAAUUUACAGAUCUACUUAUGAUACUACUACUACUACUACUACUACUACUACUACUACUACUACUACUACUACUACUACUACUACUACUACUACUACUACUAAUAAUAAUACAUUUUAUUUAAAAGCACCUUUCAAGACAUCCAAAGACACUUAGCAAUAGAAUCAAACACAAAGUAGAACAAUGACAAAACAAAAAGAUAAAAUCAACAAACAAUAAUUUCACAUUUAGAUUAAGGCUACGGCUGAAAUUAAGUAAAAGUAAGUAAAAAUGUAAUCUUUGUGUCAUUUCUAAAAUAAUAAUUCUUGUAAUACACGCCUCAAGCCCAUUGUCUACAAAAUGAUAUAGCUCUCAAUUUACUGCUAAAACAUAAAAAAAUACAAUAUCCACCGUUUUAUUAUCACGGUGGAGUAAUGUUUGCUGAAGUCAAGAUAAAAUCUGUCAACGGUAACAGUCACAGUCAAAUAUCACGGUUAUUUCAGUUUUAUUUGCAUGUUCAAAAUAAAAUUCUGUUAUUUUUUUUAUAUUUGAGUUGGUAACACUUUAUGAUAAACAUGGUUAAUUGUUGGUAAACUAUUAAUAGUGAAAAGAUCAAAAAUAAUAACUUUAAUAACUGUUGUGAAAGAGAUUCACGACGAUUAUCGCAAAGUUACAACAGAUGUAAAUGUAAUAGUUUAGAAGUAGUUACUGAAACCUGUGUGUUUCAGAUAAAAGCAGUAUGUGGAUGGUUAUUGUGAGGCUGAAAGAAGCUUUGCUUUAAAUAAUGAAUGUAAAGUAGGCCGAUGGGGUGGCAGAGCCAUAAACCACAAUGUGCCUGAGGAACACCUUUUAUGUGCUGUUUUGGGUGGCUGUAGUCUAGGAGGUAAAGUAGGUCACCUACUGAUCGGAAGGUUGGUGGUUCGAUCCCUGGCUCCUCCAGUCUGCAUGUCAAUUAUUCUUGGGCAAGAUACUAACCCCAAGUUGCUCUCUGAUGCAUCCAUCGGAGUGUGAAUGUAGUUAGAAAGCACUAAGUAUAGAGACAGUGCUUGUGAGAAUGGGUGUGAUGUAUAGAGCGCUUACUCUGGGAGACUAGAAAAGUGCUAUAUAAGAAUCAGUCCAUUUCACUCACUGUCCAUGUUUAUUUGACUCCCCGAGGAUUAGAACAAAUAACCACAAACUAAUUACAUAUGUAGGAAUCAAUAGCAUUACACAUGAUUAGUAAACAUUAUCAAAUAUAAUUUAUUGUUUUGUUUACUGUUUAUUAAGAAUAAUUAUUAUGAAGUGUCACUUUUGAUGUGUUUUGUUGGUGCUUUUAUUUUGAAUGUGUUUGCAGCUGUACUUUGAAUAACAGCUGGAACUGAAUCUGUAAUCUCCCUGUUAGUUGAAGAGAAGGCUGAUAGAAAACUGCAGUCUGUAAUAAAUCAUUUAAAUGGAGAAUAGAAGUUUUCACAGCACUUGUGUGUUUGUAUAAAGUUCUGUGCUUUUUAAAGCUUGACGAAAUCUCUGAUUAAAGCUUCGCUCAGCAAACAUUUACGUGUCUGCAUGUCAGUCAUUUCAAACCAGCUUCAUGAUUCCACCGAGCCCGUCUUUCUGCAGGUGUAGCUGCUCUUACAGUGAAUGUUGUGGCUUUCUAAAUUUAUCAUCACUCUAUGUUAUAUUUCCGACAACCACUCGUGUAGACAGUGUUCUUAACUGUUCUUAACCCUGAAAUACAGCUGCCUUUAAGAGCAGACAUUUCAACACUUGCUCCUUGUUCU
Haplochromis burtoni (Burton's mouthbrooder) is the source of this 3049-nucleotide long non-coding RNA. RefSeq lists it as uncharacterized. The transcript has 4 exons. NCBI's taxonomy places the organism in Eukaryota, Metazoa, Chordata, Actinopteri, Cichliformes, Cichlidae. The record is from RefSeq and is a predicted model, not a curated record.